RNAcentral lists this ribosomal RNA (522 nucleotides) under Salmonella enterica subsp. enterica serovar Oranienburg. RNAcentral's name for it is "partial 16S ribosomal RNA". It matches the Rfam family "Bacterial small subunit ribosomal RNA", at positions 993 to 1515 of the family's 1533-position model. The record is from RNAcentral. Lineage: Bacteria; Pseudomonadati; Pseudomonadota; Gammaproteobacteria; Enterobacterales; Enterobacteriaceae. RNAcentral also lists the same sequence under 22 other names.
GAAGUUUUCAGAGAUGAGAAUGUGCCUUCGGGAACCGUGAGACAGGUGCUGCAUGGCUGUCGUCAGCUCGUGUUGUGAAAUGUUGGGUUAAGUCCCGCAACGAGCGCAACCCUUAUCCUUUGUUGCCAGCGAUUAGGUCGGGAACUCAAAGGAGACUGCCAGUGAUAAACUGGAGGAAGGUGGGGAUGACGUCAAGUCAUCAUGGCCCUUACGACCAGGGCUACACACGUGCUACAAUGGCGCAUACAAAGAGAAGCGACCUCGCGAGAGCAAGCGGACCUCAUAAAGUGCGUCGUAGUCCGGAUUGGAGUCUGCAACUCGACUCCAUGAAGUCGGAAUCGCUAGUAAUCGUGGAUCAGAAUGCCACGGUGAAUACGUUCCCGGGCCUUGUACACACCGCCCGUCACACCAUGGGAGUGGGUUGCAAAAGAAGUAGGUAGCUUAACCUUCGGGAGGGCGCUUACCACUUUGUGAUUCAUGACUGGGGUGAAGUCGUAACAAGGUAACCGUAGGGGAACCUGC